Molecule: ribosomal RNA, 460 nt
Filed under: uncultured bacterium
Lineage: Bacteria
Description: partial 16S ribosomal RNA
Rfam family: Bacterial small subunit ribosomal RNA
Source: RNAcentral
CCUACGGGAGGCAGCAGUGAGGAAUAUUGGUCAAUGGACGAGAGUCUGAACCAGCCAAGUAGCGUGAAGGAUGACUGCCCUAUGGGUUGUAAACUUCUUUUAUAUGGGAAUAAAAUGUUCCACGUGUGGGAUUUUGUAUGUACCAUAUGAAUAAGGAUCGGCUAACUCCGUGCCAGCAGCCGCGGUAAUACGGAGGAUCCGAGCGUUAUCCGGAUUUAUUGGGUUUAAAGGGAGCGUAGGUGGAUUGUUAAGUCAGUUGUGAAAGUUUGCGGCUCAACCGUAAAAUUGCAGUUGAAACUGGCAGUCUUGAGUACAGGAGAGGUGGGCGGAAUUCGUGGUGUAGCGGUGAAAGGCUUAGAUAUCACGAAGAACUCCGAUUGCGAAGGCAGCUCACUGGACUGCAACUGACACUGAGGCUCGAAAGUGUGGGUAUCAAACAGGAUUAGAUACCCUGGUAGUC